This 406-nucleotide ribosomal RNA is filed under the name uncultured bacterium. Its description in RNAcentral is "partial 16S ribosomal RNA". It matches the Rfam family "Bacterial small subunit ribosomal RNA", at positions 29 to 526 of the family's 1533-position model. The record is from RNAcentral.
AUUGAACGCUGGCGGCAGGCCUAACACAUGCAAGUCGAGCGAGCGGUGGACGGGUGAGUAAGGUCUGGGAAACUGCCUGAUGGAGGGGGAUAACUACCGGAAACGGUAGCCAAUACCGCACACCAUCAGAUGUGCCCAGAUGGGAUUAGCUAGUAGGUGGGGUAACGGCUCACCUGGGCGACGAGCCCUAGCUGGUCUGAGAGGAUGACCAGCCACACUGGAACUGAGACACGGUCCAGACUCCUACGGGAGGCAGCAGUGGGGAAUAUUGCACAAUGGGCGCAAGCCUGAUGCAGCCAUGCCGCGUGUAUGAAGAAGGCCUUCGGGUUGUAAAGUACUUUCAGCGGGGAGGCGUUACCCGCAGAAGACGCACCGGCUAACUCCGUGCCAGCCGCCGCGGUGCUUC